RNAcentral lists this ribosomal RNA (434 nucleotides) under Spiroplasma symbiont of Acyrthosiphon pisum. Its description in RNAcentral is "bacterial SSU rRNA". It matches the Rfam family "Bacterial small subunit ribosomal RNA", at positions 51 to 484 of the family's 1533-position model. The record is from RNAcentral. Lineage: Bacteria; Bacillati; Mycoplasmatota; Mollicutes; Entomoplasmatales; Spiroplasmataceae.
AUACAUGCAGUCGACGAAGUAGCAAUACUUUAGUGGCGAACGGGUGAGUAACACGUAUCUAACCUACCAUUUAGUGGGGAAUAACUGUUGGAAACGACAGCUAAUACCGCAUAUGUUAUUUAUUUGCAAUGAUAAAUAAUGAAAGGAGCAUUUGUUUCGCUAAUUGAUGAGGAUGCGGCGCAUUAACUAGUUGGUAAGGUAAUGGCUUACCAAGGUAACGAUGCGUAGCCGAUCUGAGAGGAUGAACGGCCACAUUGGGACUGAGACACGGCCCAAACUUCUACGGAAGGCAGCAGUAGGGAAUUUUUCACAAUGGGCGAAAGCCUGAUGGAGCAAUGCCGCGUGACUGAUGAAGAUCUUCGGAUUGUAAAGGUCUGUUGUAAGGGAAGAAGUGCUAGAAUAGGAAAUGAUUUUAGUAUCGACCAUACCUUACC